RNAcentral lists this ribosomal RNA (256 nucleotides) under uncultured bacterium. RNAcentral's name for it is "partial 16S ribosomal RNA". It matches the Rfam family "Bacterial small subunit ribosomal RNA", at positions 521 to 776 of the family's 1533-position model. The record is from RNAcentral.
UAAUACGUAGGGAGCAAGCGUUGUCCGGAAUUACUGGGCGUAAAGGGCGCGUAGGUGGAUGCUUAAGUCAGAUGUGAAAACUCUGGGCUCAACUUGGAGAUUGCAUUUGAAACUGGGUAUCUUGAGGGUAGGAGAGGAAAGUGGAAUUCCUAGUGUAGCGGUGAAAUGCGUAGAUAUUAGGAGGAACACCAGUGGCGAAGGCGACUUUCUGGACUAUACCUGACACUGAGGCGCGAAAGCGUGGGGAGCGAACGGG